UACGUAGGGGGCUAGCGUUGUCCGGAAUCAUUGGGCGUAAAGCGCGCGUAGGCGGCCCGGUAAGUCCGCUCUGAAAGUCCAGGGCUCAACCCUGGAAUGCGGGUGGAUACUGCCGGGCUAGAGUCCGGAAGAGGCGAGUGGAAUUCCUGGUGUAGCGGUGGAAUGCGCAGAUAUCAGGAGGAACACCAAUGGCGAAGGCAGCUCGCUGGGACGUUACUGACGCUGAGACGCGAAAGCGUGGGGAGCAAACAGG
This 253-nucleotide ribosomal RNA is filed under the name uncultured bacterium. Its description in RNAcentral is "partial 16S ribosomal RNA". It matches the Rfam family "Bacterial small subunit ribosomal RNA", at positions 524 to 776 of the family's 1533-position model. The record is from RNAcentral.